RNAcentral lists this long non-coding RNA (261 nucleotides) under Ananas comosus (pineapple). RNAcentral's name for it is "long non-coding RNA (ACOM_LNC034673)". The record is from RNAcentral. Lineage: Eukaryota; Viridiplantae; Streptophyta; Magnoliopsida; Poales; Bromeliaceae.
CCCUGAACACAGAAAAGUUCAGUAAAGUAUUUUUAAAGCAAUCUAAGCCUUCUGAACUUAUUCUAAUCAAAUAACUUCAUCACAAAUGAUCUUUUCUUCAUACCUUAGGUGCCGAACUUUACGAGUGAGUCUUUUUCCUUCAAUUUAGAUAUUUUCUUUAAUCUUCUGCAAUCAACUCUUCAAGACUCCAUUCAACAUUACGAAAUCUGCCAACCUAUAAAAUCCUUAACAGAUUGCGGAACCGAGAAAUUCCUUACAUGA